RNAcentral lists this ribosomal RNA (202 nucleotides) under halophilic archaeon. RNAcentral's name for it is "partial 16S ribosomal RNA". It matches the Rfam family "Archaeal small subunit ribosomal RNA", at positions 126 to 326 of the family's 1478-position model. Lineage: Archaea; Methanobacteriati; Methanobacteriota; Halobacteria; Halobacteriales. The record is from RNAcentral.
AUACCCUCGGGAAACUGAGGCUAAUAGUGUAUACCAUACCACCACUGGAAUGAGUGGUAUGCCAAACGCUCCGGCGCCGAAGGAUGUGGCUGCGGCCGAUUAGGUACACGGUGGGGUAACGGCCCACCGUGCCAAUAAUCGGUAUGGGUCAUGAGGAGUGAAAACCCUUAGACGGAAUCUGAGACAAGAUUCCGGGCCCUAC